UACGGGGGGGGCAAGCGUUGUUCGGAAUUACUGGGCGUAAAGGGCUCGUAGGCGGCCAACUAAGUCAGACGUGAAAUCCCUCAGCUUAACUGGGGAACUGCGUCUGAUACUGGAUGGCUUGGAUUCGGGAGAGGAAUGCGGAAUUCCAGGUGUAGCGGUGAAAUGCGUAGAUAUCUGGAGGAACACCGGUGGUGUAGACGGCUUUCUGGACCGUAACUGACGCUGAGACACGAAAGCGUGGGUAGCAAACAGG
RNAcentral lists this ribosomal RNA (253 nucleotides) under uncultured bacterium. RNAcentral describes it as "partial 16S ribosomal RNA". It matches the Rfam family "Bacterial small subunit ribosomal RNA", at positions 524 to 776 of the family's 1533-position model. The record is from RNAcentral.